CCUGGGCACAAGUGAUACUCCCACCUCAACUUACCAAGUAGGUAGAACUAAAGGUGAGCAUGAUCACACUUGGUCAAUUUUUAUUUUUUGUAGAGAUAGGGUUUCUCUAUGUUGCCCAGGCUGGCAUUGAACUCCUGGCCUUAAGUGAUGCUCCCACUUUGGCUUCCCAAAGUUAUAGGAUUAUUGGCAUGAGCUACUGUGCACAGGCAAAUUUACUUUCUUUAUAAAUUACCUAGUUUGUGAUAUUCCAUUAUAGUAACACAAAAUGAACUAAGGCAAAGGACUAUAGUCAGAAUUACCUAAAACCAUGUUGGGAAAGCAUUAAGCAGGACAUAUGGUCUAAUUUGCCAUAGGUUCUCAAUUCAUGAUUUUUUUCUCCUUUUGAUUCCAAGCCCAAUUGUUUUUUUUCCUACAGCAUAGGGUGAACCCCCAACAUCGGAGGCAGGUCUCAGUUAAUUUAGAAAGUUUAUUUUGCCAAGGUUGAGGAUGGGCAACCAUGACACAGCCUCAGGAGGUUCUGAGAACUUCUGCCCAAGGUGGUCAGGGCACAGCUUGGUUUUAUACAUUUUAGGGAGACAUGAGACAUCAAUCAAUAUGUGUAAGAUGUACAUUGGGCCAAUCCAGAAAGGUGGGACAGCUCCAGGUGAAGGCAGGACAGCUGGAAGCCUGGAGGGGACUUCCAGGUCAUAGACAGGGUCUCGCUUUGUCAUCCAGGCUGGAGUGUACUGAUACAAACACGGCUCACUGUAAACACCUCCCAGGCUCAAGCAAUCCUCCUGCCCCAGCUCCCCAAGUAGCUGGGACUACAGGCAUGUACUGCCACACCUGGCUAAUUUUUGUAUUAUUCUGUAGAGACAGGGUAUCACCAUGUUACCCAGGCUGUUCUCAAACUCAUGAGCGCAAGCCAUCCACCUGCCUUGAUCUCCCAAAGUGCUGGGAUUGUGCUGGCAGGAGCCACCACACCUGGCUUAAAUGCUCCUCUUGAUGGUUGGCCUCUUUCUCUGGCAAUGGCUGGCUCCCUCUGCUCCUCAGGCACAGGGGGUGAGAUGCACAGUAACAACUCUGAUCCAAUCCAGCUGGUUCUUUUUAGAGGAAAAACCUAUAGCUGGAGCAGUCAACAGAGGCAAGGUCACCUUGUGGCAGCUGCAGCUGCAAACAUGGGAAGGAAGCAGGGGGCAGGGGAGGGCAGGAGAUCAUAUUUUGGAAGAGGGUGCUGGGCAGACCAUCCAAUAAGGGCUAAUGGCAGCCCUUCUCUAAGAAUGAGAAAUGUCAUUCUGACCAGCAGUUGACAGUUAAGGGUCAUCCAAAUGAGCUACAUGCUUAUCCUAAAAGGAUUGGCUAGAGACAAAAGAGGAAGUGGGUUACACACUUAUCCAAAAAGGAUUGGUUAGAGACAAAAGAGGAAGAAGAAAUAAAAGGGACUGGCUCAUUUCUUCUGAACUUCCUGUCUGUAACUUUGUCAGGCAGAGCCUGAAGUGCUCUGUGGUUCCUGGGCUAUUGCCCGGCAUUAGCAGGACUGGAGUUUGGCUGCAGAGGGAGGCGAGAGUACAAAAGAUACUCGGGAAGCUGAUUGAAAGCCAUUAAAUUGUUUUUAGAGCCAGGAAAGGAGACAUUAAAAUGUCUUAGGAGCUGUAGCCUGAGAUGAAUACCAUAAGAGCAUGUUGGAUUUAAUCAGUGACAUACAAAUAGGCUAAAGGAAGUUUUUGUUGUUGUUUUAGGCUUUUUUUUGAGACAGGGUCUUGUCCUGUCACUCAGGCUGAAGUGCAGUGGCGCAAUCAUGGCUCACUGCAGCCUUGACCUCCCAGGUUGAAGUGAUCCUCCCAACCUCAGCCUCUGAGUAGCUGGGACUACAGGUGUGCACCUCGUCUGCCUGAUCUUUUUGAAUUUUUGUAGAGAGGGGUCUCGCUAUGUUGUCCAGGCUGGUCUCAAACUUCUGGGCUCAAGCAACCCGCCUGCCUUGGCCUCCCAAAAUGCUGGGAUUAUAGGCAUGAGCCACUCCAUCUGGCCUCAAGAUGUUAAAUGCAGUCUAGGUGGGAUUCAGACUUCCCCCUACCCCAAGUGGAUGAAAAAGUGGGUGCAGGCUGUGAGAGUUAAACUGACACUUUGAGGUGCUGCCAUUGUAAAUCAGAGAGUUAAGAAAAACAAAUAGCUACAUACUGUGAUGAACCAGAAAUAACCAGGUCAUCCUGUGCAGUUCAGUUCCCCCAAAUAAAAGAAACUUGAGCAUUCCCAUACUUUACUGAUUCCCUAAGGAAAAACGGCAUUAUCUCUUAUGACUGCAGUGCUUACCUAUGUCAGGGGAUAUGAUGUGACAUUUGUGGGUUUGAUAAUCAAGUGACAACAUUUCUAAUUUCACACAGUGAGCAGCCUAUCAUAAACUUGGUAACCUUGGCAAAUUUGUAGUUAUUUCCCUUUGGUUUUUUUCCAUCUUUCAAUGGAUUCGUUUUCUUUUUAAGUAGAGACAGGGUCUGGCUGUGUCACCCAGAAUGCUGCAGUGCAGUGGCACGACCAUAGCUCACUGCAGCCUUGAACUCCUGGGUUCAACUGAUCCUUCCACCUUAGCCUACCAAGUAGCUAGGACUACAGGUGUGUGCCACCAUGUCUGGCUAAGUUUUGUUUGAUUUGUUUGCAGACAUGGAGGCCUGCUGUGUUGCCCAGGCUGGUUUCAAACACCUGACCUCAGGUGAUCCUCCUGCCUCAGCCUCCCAAAGUGCUGGGAUCAGAGACUUGAGCCACUGUGGCCAGCCGGAAUGUAAAUUCCACUGAAUUUUUUUGUGUGAUUAGCCUUCUUGCCGAAGCCUUGACACUCUUGCAAGCCUUUGCGAGUACAUUUCUUCUAUUUCAGAAGACUCCUUGCUCUCCAAGACUUUUUUCUACAAGGUGUAACCAGAAGCCAGGAGGCCUGUUGCAAAACCAAUCCCAUUUGAAAGCAGAGAAUGUGAACUCACCUAUUGUCAUAAUGAUUAUAAAAGAGGCUUUGGCUCACUCCUGUAAUCCCAGCACUUUGCAAGGCCAAGGCAGGCAGAUCACCUGAGGUCAGGAGUUCAAGACCAGCCUGGCCUACAUGGCGAAACCCCAUCUCCACUAAAAAUACAAAAAUUAGCCAGGCAUGGUGGUGCACGCCUGUAAUCCCAGCCACUCUACUCAGGAGGCUGAGGCAGGAGAAUUGCUUGAACCUGGGAGGUGGAGGCUGCAGUGAGCCAAGACGGCACCACUGCACUCCAGCCAGGCGACCGAGCAAGACUCUGUCUGAAAAAAAAAAAAAAAUUAUGAAAGAGGGUGGGUGCGGUGGCUCAUGUCUGGAAUCCCAGCGUUUUGAGAGGCAAAGGAGCGAGGAUCACUUUAGUUCAGGAGUGCUAGACCAACCUGGGAAACAUAGUGAGACCCUGUCUCUACCAAAAAUUAAAUUAUUUGGGCAUGAUGGCACAUGCCUGUAGUCCCAGCUACUUAGGAGGCUGAGGUGGGAGGAUCACUUGAGGUUUUAGUCAUGGAAGUCUCUUGCCCUGGAGGUCGAGGCUGCAGUAACCCAUGAUCGUGCCACUGCACUCUAGCCUGGGCAACAAAGCAAGACACUGUCUCAAAUUAAAAAAAAAAAAAAAGGCUUAGGGAGUUACUGAAGAAUCACCCUGGGCUGUAGUUCACAGGGAGUGUGCAUAGGUUAAGGAGAAGACAUCUGCAUGAGUUUCAGUAAAGAGAUACAGUUGCGGUGGCUGGGCAACCUCGUAAACAUUCUGGGAAGGAAUGCAGAAUGCAAAACCCAGCUGAAAAAUCUAGAAGAAAUCAUGUCCCAGUUAAAGAAGAUAUUCCUCCUGAGUCCUUCAAGCUCUGCUACUUUGUAAGUAUAAGAACCAGCCGGGUGUGGUGGCUCAUGCUUGUAAUCCCAGCACUUUGUGAGGCUGGGGUGGGCGGAUCACUUGAGGCCAGGAGUUUGAGACCAGCCUGGCCAACAUGGUGAAACCCCAUCUCUACUAAAAAUACAAAAUAUUAGCUGGGCAUGGUGGUGGGCGCCUGUAGUCCCAGCUAUUUGGGAGGCUGAGGCAGAAGAAUUGCUUGAACCCAGGAGGCAGAGGUUGCAGUGAGCUGAGAUUGUGCCACUGCACUCUAGCCUGGGCGACAGAGUGAGAUUCUGUCUCAAGCAAAAAAAAAGUAAAACAACCAAUAAAAAUAUACUCAAAACAGAAUGAGAUGCAAAGAAAGCUUGCAGAGCUAAGGAAAUAGAGGAUAAAGCAUCACCCUUACAGAAUCAAAAAACUGGAAACAGCAAGGAACAGCUAGAAAAUGGCUCCAUAGUUCUGAAACCACUUGCUACACCAGUGGUUCUAAGUGCAGUCCCAGCACCAGCAGUGUCAGCACCACCUGAGAACUUGUUAGAAAUGAAGUGAAUUGGUGUGGGGAGUGGAACCGGCAAUCUGGCUUAAUCAGCCCUCCAGGUGGUCCCGAUGCCCACUAAAAUUUGAGACUAUGUUCUUCUCCCUCUCAGGCUGAAGAGUUGGGCAUAGCAAUGUUGUUCAGCUCCAGAUUCCAGAACUAGACACGUUUCUCCCAGGGAGAUUCUUAUGAACAUUCCUUUUCAAGAACAGAAAGAGGCCAGGCGUGGUGGCUCAUGCCUGUAAUCCCAGCACUUUGGGAGGCUGAGGCGGGUGGAUCACCUGAGGUCAGGAGUUCGAGACCAGCCUGACCAACAUAGAGAAACCCCAUCUCUACUAAAAAUACAAAAUUAGCCAGGUGUGGUGGCACAUGCCUGUAAUCCCAGCUGCUCAGGAGGCUGAGGCAGGAGAAUCAUUCAAACCUGGGAGGCGGAGGUUGCGGUGAGCCAAGAUCAUGCCAUUGCACUCCAGCCUGGGCAACAAGAGCGAAACUCCAUCUCAAAAAAAAAAAAAAGAGAGAGAGAGAGAGAAAAGAAAGAGAAAAAAAGGCCGGGUGCAGUGGCUCAUGCCUGAAAUCCCAGAACUUUGGGAGGCCAAGUUGGGCAGAUCACCUGAGGUCAGGAGUUCGAGACCAGCCUGGCCAACAUGGUGAAAUACCGUCUCUACUAAAAUUACAAAAAUUAGCCAGGCAUGAUGGCAGAUGCCUGGUAAUCCCAGCUACUCAGGAGGCUGAGGCAGGAGAACAGCUUGAACCCAGGUGGCAGAGGUUGCAGUGAGCUGAGAUCAUGCCACUGCACUCCAGCCUGGGCAACAAGAGCGAGACUCCGUCUCAAAAAAAAAAAGAACAGAAAUAAUCAAACCACAGCAUCAAUUCAUUCAUUCAUUCCACCAACAUUUAUUAAGCAGCAAGCUCCGAAGCAGACGUUUACCAGUUUUGCACAACUUUGUCAUGGACCAACUGGCCUUGUGGCUCAGUGGCAUCUGGAGGCAAGAGGGCCAAGUAGACAGGGGUCUCAGCCCCCUCCUCCACAGUCCUGAUGCUGUCUUUCCCAUCCAUGUCUGUCUUCACUGGUCCUGGGCAGCACGCAUUCACCAGAAUCCUGUCAGCUUUCCUCUUCUCAUCCAGACGCCUGGCCAGGAUCCUCGAUAAGACCGUGACCCCCAACUUGGACACCCCAUAAGCUUUGUUCUCAGAAACUUGGCGGCUACAAGGAAUUAAAUGUGAAUGGGAAAGGAAGAAAGAAAAACACAGAUCAUAGAAGCUGUGCCUUCGAGGAAAUAAAUCCUCUUAAGGGGAGGAGGUGUCCUCUUUGAUCUGAGGGCACACCUCUGGGAGAGAGGCCAGAGGCUGACAGUCAGCCUCGUCAGCCAGAUGCGUCAUCAGCCCUGGGAAGGGCUGCACCCACACCACCCUCCACUGAGGUCCAGGUGGCCCCACCGGUCCCGAAACACCUGCUGCCUUACUCUAGAAAGAGUAGGCAAGUUGCGCCCUCUAGUGGCUUAGUAGUUGCUUGUCCUAUUGACUCAGAACCUUGAACAAAUAAGCAAGUCAAAUACAGAUAGAUGGUCCCUGCCCUCUGAUGGUUCCACUUAGGACUUACUGACUUCACUGAUGGAUGAGGAAGCGAUAUGCAUUCUGCAGAAUCUGUACUUGGAGGCCCCAUACAACCAUUCUGCAUUUCACUUUCAGUACAGAUUCAAUAAAUUACAUAAGAUACUCAACAUUUUAUGAUAAAAUAGGCUUUGUGUUAGAUGACUUUGCCAGACUAUAGGCUAAUGUAAGCGUUCAAAGCACCUUGAAGCUAGACGAGGCUGACCUAUGGUGUUUGGUAGGUCAGAUGCGUUAAAUGCAUUUUUUUUUUUUUUUGAGACAAGGACUUGCUCUGUCGCCCAGGCUAGAGUACAGUGGCACAAUCAUAGCUCACUGCAGCCUCAACCUCCUGGGCCCAAGCGAUCCUCCCACCUCAGUCUCUCGAGAAGCUGGAACAUGCCACUAUGCCCAGCUAAUUUUUAAUUUUCAUUUUUUGUGUAGAGCUGGGGUCUCCAUAUGUUGCUCAGGA
Molecule: long non-coding RNA, 6427 nt
Filed under: Homo sapiens (human)
Lineage: Eukaryota; Metazoa; Chordata; Mammalia; Primates; Hominidae
Description: PREDICTED lncRNA (TCONS_00174731)
Source: RNAcentral